UAACGCUGGCGGCAGGCUUAACACAUGCAAGUCGAGCGGUAGCACAGGGGAGCUUGCUCCCUGGGUGACGAGCGGCGGACGGGUGAGUAAUGUCUGGGAAACUGCCUGAUGGAGGGGGAUAACUACUGGAAACGGUAGCUAAUACCGCAUAACGUCGCAAGACCAAAGAGGGGGACCUUCGGGCCUCUUGCCAUCAGAUGUGCCCAGAUGGGAUUAGCUAGUAGGUGGGGUAAUGGCUCACCUAGGCGACGAUCCCUAGCUGGUCUGAGAGGAUGACCAGCCACACUGGAACUGAGACACGGUCCAGACUCCUACGGGAGGCAGCAGUGGGGAAUAUUGCACAAUGGGCGCAAGCCUGAUGCAGCCAUGCCGCGUGUGUGAAGAAGGCCUUCGGGUUGUAAAGCACUUUCAGCGAGGAGGAAGGUGGUGAACUUAAUACGUUCAUCAAUUGACGUUACUCGCAGAAGAAGCACCGGCUAACUCCGUG
This 487-nucleotide ribosomal RNA is filed under the name uncultured Serratia sp. Its description in RNAcentral is "bacterial SSU rRNA". It matches the Rfam family "Bacterial small subunit ribosomal RNA", at positions 32 to 507 of the family's 1533-position model. The record is from RNAcentral. Lineage: Bacteria; Pseudomonadati; Pseudomonadota; Gammaproteobacteria; Enterobacterales; Yersiniaceae.